Lepus europaeus (European hare) is the source of this 531-nucleotide non-coding RNA. The record is from the annotation of a RefSeq genome assembly. Lineage: Eukaryota; Metazoa; Chordata; Mammalia; Lagomorpha; Leporidae.
AUGAGCACCAAACUCUUCUGUGUGGCCUUCAGCCUCCUGUGUGCAGGACACACAGAUGCUGUAAUCACCCAGAUCCCCAGACACAAGGUCACACAGACAGGAAAGAAGGUCACUCUGAGAUGUCACCAGACUGACGACUACGACUAUAUGUACUGGUAUCGGCAAGACCUGGGAUCUGGGCUGAGGCUGAUCUACUACUCACAUGGUGUUGGCAUCACGGAAAAAGGAGACGUCUCUGAUGGGUACAACGUCUCCAGAACGAACACUAAGGACUUCUCCCUCACCCUGGUGUCAGCCACCACUUCCCAGACAUCUGUGUACUUCUGUGCCAACUCUGAGUCCACAGCACUACACAGCUGCCUCCUGUCUGCACAUAAAGGCUGCUCAGGACGAUUGAGGUUUCCUGUGCACAUGAAACCCAGCCCCACCUGCAAAGUCCCUGCUUCUGCGGGCGCCACAGGGUCCCUGCCAGCCAGGGGGUCUUCCUGCGUGGGCAGCGUGACCUUCAUGCCGAGGCCCACCCCACGCUAG